UGAAAACAUAGGAGAAACCAUUCAUGAAAAAAUCUUAUAGUUAGAAGGUACCAUUCAUUUAAUUAGCAAUUAAAUUUAAAUUGGAAUUUUUAAGAAAAAGUUCUGUUUUUGAAAUCAUUACAAGACAUAUCUGGAGGUUAAACAUCAAAACACAGCGCCAUAUCAUGUAAAAUAAAAUUGAUCUAGACUCAAGAUUGCCAGAGAUGGCUGCUGAUAAG
This 218-nucleotide long non-coding RNA is filed under the name Panax ginseng (ginseng). RNAcentral's name for it is "long non-coding RNA (PGIN_LNC014650)". Lineage: Eukaryota; Viridiplantae; Streptophyta; Magnoliopsida; Apiales; Araliaceae. The record is from RNAcentral.